GGCUGGAACUCAAAAGACUUCCAAACGAAGAAGAUUUUUGUAGGUGGACAGAAACCUUUUCCUAACCCUUGCAUGCGUUGCGAUGUUCAACAGUUAAAAGUGUUGGUUUGUUUUUUAGGUUAAUCAUUGGUUUAUUUAUGUGAUUGGGGUUCUACACCUGGCUGGGAAGAGAUGCGCUCCUCUAAUGCUCCGUUUGGCAGGGCACUCUAUUGGAACCUUUGGCAAGUGUACAAAGACUGGUGGACCCUUCGAAACCAUCAUAUUCGAAGGUGCCAGCCCAGAGAUUUUUCUGAAUCCGCUAUAGCCAUAACUCUUCACCAACAAGAACUCUACUAUUAUUAUUAAUCAACCAAAAUCUCUCUUCACUCCAAACAGAACACACUAGCGAGAAAAAAAGUGAUCAGCCGAAAAACUCUGCGUUCUCUCACAAAUUAAACAGCGUCACUAUGGCAUAGGUAAUACUUUAGUGACUGCGAAAAUCAUUUUAGAAGCGGUAGCUGUGAUGAGUAAUGAGCACUGUGGCUGAUAAGUGGCUCCCCGUUUGGUUGGAUUCAUUUCAUUCUGUUGCAAGCAAGUAGAGAGUUGCCUAUCAAGGGUUGAGCAGUCGCCUGUUGACUCUAUGGAAAAUGCACUUUGUCCAUCGUUGAAAGCAUUGAUUGCGGACAAACUUUUAAGCCACUCAGAUGAUGAUGUCAAAGUUACAGUUGCCUCUUGCAUCAGUGAAAUAACAAGAAUCACUGCACCUGAAGCUCCUUAUGAUGAUGCUCAAAUAUAUGAAUGAAUUUGAUAUAUGAAUGAAUUUGACUAUUAUCAUACUCUUAAUGAAAGACAUCAGUAAAUCAAUUGAGUUUUACUGAUGACAUUUUCUUGCAGGAUGUCUUUCAAUUAAUUGUAUCUUCAUUUGAAAAUCUACAUGAUAAGUUAAGCCAAUCAUAUGCAAAGAGGACCUCAAUUCUUGAAACUGUUGUGAAAGUUAGAUCAUGUGUGGUAAUGCUGGACCUUGAAUGUGAUGCCCUGAUUUUGGAGAUGUUUAAGCAUUUCUUUUAAAAUAUAAGGUAAGACUAUAGUAAAGUUCAGCAUCAUCAUGGCUUCAAAUAUUUUGUCGUCUAUAAUUCUACCUCAAACAUGAUUUGAUUACUUUGAUCUUUUACCACAUUGUCUAUGUGAACUAUUUUAAACGUGUUUUUAUUUUUUCGUGCUUAGUAACUUUUAAACAUUUACUAAUAUUGUUGUAUUUGUGUAUUGUAUUGAACCCAAUACUCAUACCUUUACCUGUGCAACAUGGUUCUAACCAGCUCCAUUAUAAAAUUUCAGGGAACAUCAUCCAGAAAAUGUUUUUUCAUCCAUGGAAAUCAUCCACAAAAAAUUGUUCCGUUUGUACAAUUAACUGUUAUUAUAUAAGCUAUGAAGAUAUUGAAAAAUUGGAACAACUAUAUGCUCAAAGACUUUUGCUAUAAGACGAGUUUCAAUGAUGUUAUUCAUGAAGAAGAACAGUUUCUACCGAUAUUAGUGGUGCAAGCUACUACAUUGCAACUUUCAAUACUGUUUAAAUUUAAAUUGAAAUGUUGGUGCACACACCACUGCAGGAGAUGCAAGACAUGAGAGACUGCCACGAUAGCUUGCUUUCCGCGGCAGCAGUGGCCGCCAACAGUGCUUAUGAAUUCUCAGAGUCCUUGGGAGAAUUGGGCUCUUGCCUUCUUGAGAAAACCGCCUUGCAUGACGACGAAGAAAGCGUGUGGGUUGAGCUCAGAUUCACGGCAUGGAGCAAUUCCUAUUGUUUUUCUGUGUUCAGUGUUACGUGUUGGUGGAUGAGUGGAUUUGUGUUUUGAUGUGAUUGUUUUUAACAAUGGGCUGGUGGUUCCACUUGGCAUUAAGAGAAAUUUUGGUUUAGUUAAAGGUUGUGAAGUUCAAAGUUUAGGUUCCACUUCUGACCCCUGCCACCAUUAAAUGGGUGAAGCCUAAUAAUCAGAUUUGGUUUCGCGGGAUGAUACAAGACAGGCUCGGGAACGAAUUUUACGUUGGCGCUUAUAAGGUUCCUGAGUCCAUGGACUCAAGUUUCAGCUGAAGAAUUUGGCAAUUUAUCUAUGGAUUGCAAAUCGAAGAAUAGAGAAAAGCAGAGGAGAGAAGAUUGCGUGUCUUCAGAUAUGCCUGUAAUUUCUAGCCUUGUGUUAUUGCCUAUAUUGAUAUAUUGCUUCCAUUAAAUCAUCAUGUGAUGGGUCUAUGAACCCCUGAAACAUUUAGGGCCUUCCAUUCGUAUAGUUUAGCCAUUUUGGUCCCUCUCCUUAUAGGUUUAGAAUGAUGUGUUGGUUGUUUUGGAUGCUUAUUUUGUUUCUUGAGGUUAGUGAGUUCUGAUUUUAUUUCCUAGCUCAUAAAAAGCUUUUGUUAUUGUUUGAUAUAUUUUGGCUUCAUUUAAAAUAGUGUGAUUUUUUCCCUGGCUCAUGACCAAAGAAAGGGCUAAUGUUAGGUGAGAUUAUGUUAUGUAUUUUUUUAAAUAUA
Long non-coding RNA from Glycine soja, 2496 nucleotides. RefSeq lists it as uncharacterized. NCBI's taxonomy places the organism in Eukaryota, Viridiplantae, Streptophyta, Magnoliopsida, Fabales, Fabaceae. The transcript has 9 exons. The record is from RefSeq and is a predicted model, not a curated record.